RNAcentral lists this ribosomal RNA (430 nucleotides) under uncultured archaeon. RNAcentral's name for it is "bacterial SSU rRNA". It matches the Rfam family "Archaeal small subunit ribosomal RNA", at positions 474 to 903 of the family's 1478-position model. The record is from RNAcentral.
UACCAGCUCUCCGAGUGGUGUGGAUGUUUCUUGGGCCUAAAGCAUCCGUAGCUGGCUGGACAAGUCCCCUGUUAAAUCCACCGAUUUAAUCGUUAGUGUGCGGGGGAUACUGUUCGGCUAGGGGACGGGAGAGGCAGACGGUAUUUUCGGGGGUAGGGGUGAAAUCCUAUAAUCCCGGGAAGACCACCAGUGGCGAAGGCUGUCUGCUAGAACGCGCCCGACGGUGAGGGAUGAAAGCUGGGGGAGCGAACCGGAUUAGAUACCCGGGUAGUCCCAGCUGUAAACGAUGCAGGCUAGGUGUUUGGACGGCCACGUGCCGUUCUAGUGCCGCAGGGAAGCCGUUAAGCCUGCCGCCUGGGGAGUACGGCCGCAAGGCUGAAACUUAAAGGAAUUGGCGGGGGAGCACCACAAGGGGUGAAGCUUGCGGUUU